This 253-nucleotide ribosomal RNA is filed under the name uncultured bacterium. Its description in RNAcentral is "partial 16S ribosomal RNA". It matches the Rfam family "Bacterial small subunit ribosomal RNA", at positions 524 to 776 of the family's 1533-position model. The record is from RNAcentral.
UACAGAGGGUGCGAGCGUUAAUCGGAAUUACUGGGCGUAAAGCGUGCGUAGGCGGUUUGUUAAGACAGGGGUGAAAUCCCCGGGCUUAACCUGGGAACUGCGCUUGUUACUGGCAGACUGGAGUGUGUCAGAGGGGGGUGGAAUUCCAGGUGUAGCAGUGAAAUGCGUAGAUAUCUGGAGGAACACCGAUGGCGAAGGCAGCCCCCUGGGCUAACACUGACGCUGAUGCACGAAAGCGUGGGGAGCAAACAGG